CACGCCGUAAACGAUGAGUACUAAGUGUUGGAGGAAUUCAGUGCUGAAGCAAACGUAAUAAGUACUCCGCCUGAGUAGUACGUACGCAAGUAUGAAACUCAAAGGAAUUGACGGGACCCC
This 120-nucleotide ribosomal RNA is filed under the name uncultured bacterium. RNAcentral describes it as "partial 16S ribosomal RNA". It matches the Rfam family "Bacterial small subunit ribosomal RNA", at positions 796 to 922 of the family's 1533-position model. The record is from RNAcentral.